This 65-nucleotide transfer RNA is filed under the name Andrena dorsata. Its description in RNAcentral is "tRNA-Leu". It matches the Rfam family "tRNA". From Rfam's summary of the family: Transfer RNA (tRNA) molecules are approximately 80 nucleotides in length. Their secondary structure includes four short double-helical elements and three loops (D, anti-codon, and T loops). Lineage: Eukaryota; Metazoa; Arthropoda; Insecta; Hymenoptera; Andrenidae. RNAcentral also lists the same sequence under 1 other name. The record is from RNAcentral.
UUUAAUAUGGCAGAAUAGUGCAAUGGACUUAAACCCCAUAUAUAAAAUUAAAAUUUUUAUUAAAA